This 67-nucleotide transfer RNA is filed under the name Einfeldia sp. RNAcentral describes it as "tRNA-Arg". Lineage: Eukaryota; Metazoa; Arthropoda; Insecta; Diptera; Chironomidae. The record is from RNAcentral.
AAAUAAGAAGCAAAAUUUGCAAUUAGUUUCGACCUAAUCUUUGAUAUUAAAAUAAUAUCCUUAUUUU